Molecule: ribosomal RNA, 351 nt
Filed under: Triticum aestivum (bread wheat)
Lineage: Eukaryota; Viridiplantae; Streptophyta; Magnoliopsida; Poales; Poaceae
Description: partial small subunit ribosomal RNA
Source: RNAcentral
AAGUGGGUUGAAGCGGAGCCUGUCAGCAAGUGUGAUGCAGCAACAACGGUGCAGUUCAUCAAGAAGGUGAUUUUCCGGUUUGGUUUUCCACACAGUAUCAUUACUGACAAUGGUACCAAUUUAUCCAAGGGCGCUAUGAAGGAGUUCUGUGAACGUGAGCACAUCCGACUUGACGUGUCGUCAAUGGCACACCCCCAGUCCAAUGGACAGGCAGAACGAGCUAAUCAGGAAAUCUUGCGAGGCAUCAAACCCCGGCUUAUGGUCCCAUUGCAAAGAACACCAGGAUGUUGGGUUGAAGAGCUACCAUCUGUAUUAUGGAGUAUCAAUACUACGCCAAACCGGUCCACAGGA